RNAcentral lists this ribosomal RNA (468 nucleotides) under uncultured bacterium. RNAcentral's name for it is "partial 16S ribosomal RNA". It matches the Rfam family "Bacterial small subunit ribosomal RNA", at positions 28 to 507 of the family's 1533-position model. The record is from RNAcentral.
GACGAACGCUGGCGGCGUGCUUAACACAUGCAAGUCGAACGGAAAGGCCCUGCUGUUGUGGGGUGCUCGAGUGGCGAACGGGUGAGUAACACGGGAGUAACCGUCCCUUGACUUUGGGAUAACUUCAGGAAACUGGGGCUAAUACCGGAUAGGAGCUCCUGCUGCAUGGUGUGGGUUGGAAAGUUUCGGCGGUUGGGGAUGGACUCGCGGCUUAUCAGCUUGUUGGUGGGGUAGUGGCUUACCAAGGCUUUGACGGGUAGCCGGCCUGAGAGGGUGACAGGCCACAUUGGGACUCAGAUACGGGCCAGACUGCUACGGGAGGCAGGGGUGGAGAUUAUUGCACAAUGGGCCGAAGCCUGAUGCAGCAACGCCGCGUGCGAGAUGACGGUCUUAGGGUUGUAACCCGUUUUCGCCUGGGACGAAGAGUGAGUGACGGUAAUGUGUAAAGAAGCAACGGCUAACUACGUG